UGUGCGUGAAAGCCUCGUGCUCAACGCGAGGAAGCCGGACAAUACUGUCAAGCUAGAGGGCAUCAGAGGGGAAUGGAAUUCCCGGACUAGCGGUAAAAUGCGCAGAUAUCGGGAGGAACACCGAUGGCGAAGGCAGCUCCCUGGAAUGCACCUGACGCUAAGAGCCGAAAGCUAGGGGAGCGAACAGGAUUAGAGACCCUGGUAGUCCUAGCUGUAAACGUUGGGUGCUAGCUGUGGGACGUAGAAGUUCCGUGCCGGAGCAAACGCGAUAAGCACCCCGCCUGGGAAUUACGGUCGCAAGGCUAAAACUCAAACGAAUUGACGGGGCCCCGCACAAGCAGUGGAGCGUGUGGUUCAAUUCGAUGGUACACGAAGAACCUUACCUGGCUUUGACAUGUACGUGGUACGAAGGCGAAAGCAUAAGGACCCUUCGGGGAGCGUACACAGGUGCUGCAUGGCUGUCGUCAGCUCGUACCAUGAGGUGUCGGGUUAAGUCCCGUAACGUGCGCAACCCUGGCCGAUUAGUUACAAGUGUCUAAGGGGACUGCUCUGGCGGGAAGACUCGGAGGAAGAUGGGGAUGACGUCAAGUCAGCAUGGCCCUUAUGUCCAGGGCUACACACACGCUACAAUGGUCAGUACAAAGGGUAGCGAAGUCGCGAGGCGGAGCGAAUCUCGACACAGCUGAUCGUAGUUCGGAUUGCAGGUUGCAACCCGCUGUGCAGGAAGCUGGAGUUGUUAGUAACCGCGCGUCAGCCAUAGUGCGGUGAUACGUACCCGGGGCUUGUACACACCACCCGUCUACGUAAUGGGAGUCGGUUACGCCUGAAGCCGGUAGUC
Molecule: ribosomal RNA, 838 nt
Filed under: uncultured organism
Description: bacterial SSU rRNA
Rfam family: Bacterial small subunit ribosomal RNA
Source: RNAcentral